Long non-coding RNA from Nyctereutes procyonoides (raccoon dog), 4191 nucleotides. RefSeq lists it as uncharacterized. The transcript is spliced from 5 exons. NCBI's taxonomy places the organism in Eukaryota, Metazoa, Chordata, Mammalia, Carnivora, Canidae. The record is from RefSeq and is a predicted model, not a curated record.
UUUUGAUCUUCAACUAAUACGUGGGUCAAUUAAGUGAAAAUUUCUUAAAAAUGCCUGGUCAACGACGUUUUCAAGAAGGUCCAUCAAUGUUGCUACAAAUGGAUUGAUCCCAUUUUAUAAUGGCUGGAUAAUAACUCAUGGACUGCUUGAUUCCAGGACGGUGCUCGAUUCCAGGACUCUGAGAUCAUGAUCUGAGCUGAAGGCAGAUGCUUAACCAACUGAGCCACCUCUCCAAGUGCUUUUCGAACUCUUUCUUCAAGAUUUUUUUAUUCGAGAGAGAGAGAGAGAGAGAGAGAGAGAGAGAGCGCAGAGACACAGGCAGAGGGAGAAGCAGGCUCCCCACAGGGAUCCUGAUGUGGGACUCAAUCCUGGAUCCUAGGAUCCUGCCCUGAGUCAAAGGCAGGCACUCAACCACUGAGCCACCCAGGCGUCCCUAACUCAAAACUUUUGGAAGCUAACUGGCUAAAGGUCAGGGGCAUAUUUCAUCAUGCUACCACUGUCUCCACAGAGAACUUAACUGUUACGAAAAUAAUCAAGAAUUCUGAACUUCUGAGUGUUGAGAAUUCAGCAAGCAAAAAAAUAAUCCUACACUUAUUUAAUAUAUAAUAUUAUCUGACGCUUUCCUGAAACUACAUGUACAUUCAUAGUAGUGAUUUUUGCAGAGAAAUGAAGAAUUCAGAACCUGGCCACAAGUUCAAGAUGAGCUUCAAGGAAUAAAAAUUCAAAGAUGUUAGAACAGAAUUCCAGCAUCACCAGACCAAGGUAAUGAAGCUACAUAGAUUUUUUUGUCCUGUCACGUUGAGUUCAAGGGUAGAAAAUAAUCUAUGGGCGCCUGAGCGGCUCAGUAGGUUAAGCAUCUGACUUGGUUUCGGCUUUGGUCAUGAUCUCAGGGUCAUUGAGAUGGAGUAGGGGCUAUGCAUUCAGCAUGGAGUAUGAGAUUCUUGUGCACCCAUGUGCUUUCUCUCACUCUAAAAAUAAAUCUCUAAAGAAAAAGAUCUUGUCAGAUAGAAGGAAAAUGUGACCACAAACAGACUUAGUGGCAAUUACACAUUUUACGGACAAUAAAUCUACAAGUAAGAUUUUUCAAAACAACAUAUCUUUUUCAGGUGGGGAAAAAACUCAUUAAAUUGCUCUAGAUGUUGUGACAGAAUAUGUUACAGAAGCAAAACUGCUGAGAGGAAAUUUUGAUGAUUUGAAAAAUUGGGUCCAUGGUCUUUCCUUACAAAAAGGAAUUCUUCAAUAAUUUUAAUAAUUCCAGAAGCUUUUUACACCUCUUUAAAUCUUGACUACCAUCAUUUCAUAAAAGAAAAGAUAGGUGGAUCUGUGAAGUUAUCUAUGCCAAAAGAUCCCAUUACACUUAAAAUCUUUAUUAGGAGCUCUAAGCUUUAGAACUGAUUAAGUCCACGACAUUUUAUCAGUCACUUAAAUUUCUGGAGUCUGGUAACUCUUCUGUAAGUAGUGAGACGAAACUACCUUACCCUGACCAUGUUGUGGGUUUCUAAUGAGAAUCAAAAGUGAGGAAAAAUUUUUGAUAAGCACUGUUCUUAUGCAAAUGGAUAUCACUUAUUAUUAGUUAUUGGUAUUGGAAAACAGUUCAGACUCUGCUGCUUGGUGGACCCGGAAUCUUGGUGCUCGUCUCCCUUAGGGAUCAACCCAUGACUUUGUAUUAUCCAUAUGGAACCAACUAGUCUAAGGGUCCAAACUAGAUAGAGGAAUCUCCUUUGCAUAGGUUUAUCAUGAAAUCUAGGUUUUCAUUAUUUUGGACUACUAUUUCACAAGGUCUCUAAUAAGGAUGCCCAGUCUCCUAGUAUCUGAGUGUUAGCAGAAAUAGUCAUUGUAUACUGUUUAAAGUGCUCAUCAAAUAUCUAUCAAGUCCUUUGCACAUACUGUUCCAUCACUGAACACUGAUAAAUAAGCAGUAUAUAAUCUAUAAAAAGUCACAAGUGUCUAUUGCUAUGCAUUCUGAGCUGUAUAUUCUGUAUUUAUAUUAUGGGAACAUGGACUCGGACUUGCAGGUUGCUCAUAAAUUCCAGGAUUGCUCCACCACAUCCAUAGCAGAUAGAGGGCCAUCCCCAGCACCAGCUCUACCCAUAGGAUUUGCUCCUCUUCCUCCAACUACUUGACCUCUACUAAAUGGUAUCCUAUAUCCACCACCAUUAUCUUUGUUCGAGGAUCUCCUGCUCCAUAAUCAUAUUAUCUGCUCUAAAUUAUGAAAUGAAGCAGAAAUAAAUGUAUAAACCUGAGCCCUAUGUAUUGGUUCUUGAAUAGCAGUACUACAUUCUCCACAGAAAGUCAAAUAAUCCAAGGCAGAAACCCUAACUAGGGGUUUCUGGCAUCUUCUAGCCACUGGUAGUCAUUAAUGUGCAAAUAACUGCAUAACUCUGUACAAGUACAGUAUUAUAUUAGAGAAUAUGAUUGCUGACUCUUUCCCUUUCCUUUAUGAACUCACCAUUUUAUGUUUCUAUUUCAGUACAGUAUCUAAAUAAUUGGAAAUUCCACAAAGAUUAUGAAAUUGACGUAGAAGGUAAAAGGGAAUUAAAGUGGUGUAAGGAUAAUUGUAUUAGUUCCUUAAGGCUGACAUAACAAAUUACCACAAACUGAGUGGUUUGUAAUAAUAAAAAUUUCUCACAGUUCCAGAGGGCAGAAGUCCACAAUCAAGGAGUUGGUAGGGCCACACUCUCUAGAGGCUAUAGGAGACAAUUUCUUCUGCACCUUCCAGAACUUUUGGCAUCCCUUGGUUCAUUGCCACGUAUCUCUGUUCUGUCUUUGCAUUGCCUUCUUUUCCUAGUGUCUGUGUGUAAACUUCCCUCUGCCACAAGUAGAUACAAGUGGUUGCAUUUAUGGCCAGCACAACUGAUGUUUGCAUAUUGAUCUUAUGCUCUGCACCUUUGCCAAAUUCAUUUUUUAUUUAUUUAUUUUUUUUCAAAUUCAUUUUUUAGCUCUAGUUUAUGUGUGUGUAUUCUUGGGAUACUCCAUGUUCUUAGAAUCAUGUCAUCUGCAAAAAGACUUUCCAAUUUGAAUGGCUUUUAUUUUUCUCACCUAAUUUUGCUAUGGCUAAAAUUUCCAGUAAAAUUUUGAAGUGGCAAUAAUGGGCAUCUUUCUGUUCCUCAUGGGAACGAUUCCAGUCUUUCACCAUUAAGUAUGACAUUGGCUGUGGGGUUUUCACAGGCAGAGGGAGAAGCAGGCUCCAUGGAGGGAACCUGACUCGAUCCUGGGUCUCCAGGAUCACGCCCUGGGCUGAAGGCGGCGCUAAACUGCUGAGCUGCCUUACAUAUGUCCUUUAUCAUGCUGAGGAAAUUCCUAUCUUAUUAUCAUAAAAGGGUUUGUUAAGUGGUUAUUCUGCACCAAUUGAGAUGAUCAUGUAGUUUUUUCAGCUUCAUUCUAUUUAUGUGAAUAUUACAUUGGUCAAUUUCCUUAUGUUCAUCCCCCCUUGCAUCCCUGGAGUAAAAUUCACUUGUUCUUGGUGUAUAAUUUUAAAAUAUAUGCUUGGAUUAUGUUUGCUAGUAUCUUGCUGGGGAUUUUAAUGUGUAUAGUCGUAUAAGAUAUUGGUCUGUAAUUUUGUGUUACUUUUGCCUGGCCAAUUUGGUAUCAGAAUAAUGCUGUCUCAAGGAAUGACAUAGGAUGUUAUGAUGUUAUGACAGUUAGUCUUAUGUGUGCCAACAUGGCUAAGCUAUGGCACCUAGACGUUUGGUCAAACACCAGUCUAAAUGAAUGACAGUAUAAGUGAAGGCAUUUUUAGAUGAGAUUAACAUUUCAGCAAUUAAAUCAGAUUACUAUCUACAAGACAGGUAGGCUUAAUCCAAUCUGUUCAAGGCCAUCUGAGAAAAAUGAUAGAAGUCCCACAAGGAAGAGGGACUUCUAUCUCCACACUGCUGUAACACUCCAUCUCAUGGAUCUCAAGCAUGCCAGCCUACUAUGUAGAGUUUGUACUUCUCAGCCUCCACUAUCACAUGAGCCAAUUUCAUAAAACAAGUAUCUCCUCCUCUGUAUAUGGUUCCUUUUCUCUGGGGAACUCUGAUACAGAUGUGUUCCCAAUUUAUUAGUAAAGAUUUGAGGAUUAGUGCCAAUUCCUCUUUAAGUGGUAAAAUUUACCAAUGAUGAUAUAUCGUCCUGGAAUUGUAUGUGCUAGAUUUUAAUUACUUAAUCAAAACUUGUAAUUACUAUAGGUCUGUUAAGGUCAUCUCUAUCUGG